CUUUAGGAAAAAGGAGAGUUGAGGGGACAUGACCCUUCACCUAAACUCCUGUAUUUCUUCCAGUGGAGAUAUAUUCUCUCAAACACCACAGCUUUGGCUUUCUUUCCUCUACAAUGAAAUCACAUACCGUGUGAUUCUUCCUGGAAUAAUCUCGCAAAAAUCUCACAAGGAAAUGCAGAAAAAGGAAGGUGUGAGAAAAAAUGAGACAGAAAAGAAUACUCCAGCUGACUAAGGGGAGAGAUUUAAAGGGUCCCUUGGAAGAGUUGAAGAAAAGACUGGAUGUGGCACUUAGUUCCAUGGUCUAGUUGACAUGGUGGUGUUUGGUAACAGGCUGAACUUGUUGAUCUCAGAAGCCUUUUCCUACCUAAUUGAUUCUAAAAGCAAC
Molecule: long non-coding RNA, 385 nt
Organism: Hirundo rustica (Barn swallow)
Lineage: Eukaryota; Metazoa; Chordata; Aves; Passeriformes; Hirundinidae
Exons: 4
Source: RefSeq, a predicted model, not a curated record